Molecule: long non-coding RNA, 572 nt
Filed under: Capra hircus (goat)
Lineage: Eukaryota; Metazoa; Chordata; Mammalia; Artiodactyla; Bovidae
Description: lncRNA (ENSCHIG00000006117.1)
Source: RNAcentral
CUGGAGUAGGUUGCCAUUUCCUUCUCCAGAGGAUCUUCCUGACUUAGAGCUUGAACCCAGGUCUCCUGCAUUGCUGGCAGAUGAUUUACCGACUGAGCUAUGAGGGAAGCCCAAUCAUCAAUAGCAGUCUGAAGGCAACCUCCAGCAGGAACAAGCCGAUGCAAACUUCAGAAUGUUAAGUGGCCCUGAAUGAAUAAGAACUUGGGCUAAGAAGCCAAAGCUAUUCCUAUACUGCCUGUCCUUCCAAUACCACACUCUGGAAUGAUCCAUCUUUCAAAUUAUUAAGUAAAAGGCUGGCAGAGAGAAAAUUGUCCAGGCAACUUCUACUACUGCUGAGAUCUGAAAAUACAGUCCUAAAAAGAAAAAAAGUUCACUGCCCAUGUGGAGGUGUCUUUCUUCAGAGAGAAGCAGAUGGGUAAGUAAAUAAUUGAAUAAUAAUUAUAAAUAAUUGUAAAUUUUCAGUAAUUAAAAAAAACUAAAACAGGAGCUUUUGAUAGAGACUGGCAAAGUAAGGGAUAACUCCUCUAAGGUGAUUGUGGAAGACUCAUUCAGGAGGUCUCGUAUGAUCUUGG